UACGGAGGGGGCAAGCGUUGUUCGGAAUUACUGGGCGUAAAGGGCGCGCAGGCGGCUGCUCAAGUCAGGCGUGAAAGGCCUGGGCUCAACCCGGGAAUUGCGCUUGAGACUGGGCUGGCUUGAAUGCGGGAGAGGAUGGUGGAAUUCCCAGUGUAGAGGUGAAAUUCGUAGAUAUUGGGAAGAACACCGGUGGCGAAGGCGGCCAUCUGGACCGCAACUGACGCUGAGGCGCGAAAGCGUGGGGAGCAAACAGG
RNAcentral lists this ribosomal RNA (254 nucleotides) under uncultured bacterium. RNAcentral describes it as "partial 16S ribosomal RNA". It matches the Rfam family "Bacterial small subunit ribosomal RNA", at positions 524 to 776 of the family's 1533-position model. The record is from RNAcentral.